GACGAACGCUGGCGGCGUGCUUAACACAUGCAAGUCGAACGGAAAGGCCCUGCUUUUGUGGGGUGCUCGAGUGGCGAACGGGUGAGUAACACGUGAGUAACCUGCCCUUGACUUUGGGAUAACUUCAGGAAACUGGGGCUAAUACCGGAUAGGAGCUCCUGCUGCAUGGUGGGGGUUGGAAAGUUUCGGCGGUUGGGGAUGGACUCGCGGCUUAUCAGCUUGUUGGUGGGGUAGUGGCUUACCAAGGCUUUGACGGGUAGCCGGCCUGAGAGGGUGACCGGCCACCUUGGGACUGAGAUACGGCCCAGACUCCUACGGGAGGCAGCAGUGGGGAAUAUUGCACAAUGGGCGGAAGCCUGAUGCAGCAACGCCGCGUGCGGGAUGACGGCCUUCGGGUUGUAAACCGCUUUCGCCUGUGACGAAGCGUGAGUUACGGUGAUGGGUAAAGAAGCACGGGCUAACUACGUG
This 468-nucleotide ribosomal RNA is filed under the name uncultured bacterium. Its description in RNAcentral is "partial 16S ribosomal RNA". It matches the Rfam family "Bacterial small subunit ribosomal RNA", at positions 28 to 507 of the family's 1533-position model. The record is from RNAcentral.